Molecule: unclassified non-coding RNA, 323 nt
Filed under: Hevea brasiliensis (rubber tree)
Lineage: Eukaryota; Viridiplantae; Streptophyta; Magnoliopsida; Malpighiales; Euphorbiaceae
Source: RNAcentral
AAGUUGGUGAAUCUGAGUGAAGUCCUGUGGAAUGAACAGCUUGUUUCAUGCAUGUUCAACUGCAAUAUUAACAAGGACUAGCCAUCUUGUUGUGAAGAGUUCAAUCUGUGGAUUUCCAUCUCUUUCAUGGAAGACAAGCUUUGGUCAUGCUAGAAUUGGGAAAGUUGAUUCCAACUUGUAUUUGAAUAGAGUUUCUGUUCGUUGCUUUUCGUCCAAAAAACAUAGUGGAGAUAGUUCUCCAUCGCAGAAUUCUGAGUUCACUACAGAAAUGAAAGAAGAGAGAGAUGGUUUCUUUGUUGUUAGGAAAGGAGAUCUGGUUGGAG